This 459-nucleotide ribosomal RNA is filed under the name uncultured bacterium. RNAcentral's name for it is "partial 16S ribosomal RNA". It matches the Rfam family "Bacterial small subunit ribosomal RNA", at positions 338 to 795 of the family's 1533-position model. The record is from RNAcentral.
CCUACGGAGUGCAGCAGUGAGGAAUAUUGGUCAAUGGGAGAGAUCCUGAACCAGCCAAGCCGCGUGAGGGACGACGGCCCUAUGGGUUGUAAACCUCUUUUGUCGGAGAACAAACCCCGGGACGUGUCCCGGACUGCGUGUAUCCGAAGAAAAAGCAUCGGCUAACUCCGUGCCAGCCGCCGCGGUAAUACGGAGGAUGCGAUCGUUAUCCGGAUUUAUUGGGUUUAAAGGGUGCGUAGGCGGUCCGUUAGGUCAGCGGUAACAUUGCGGGGCUCAACCCCGUCGAGCCGUUGAAACUGGCAGACUUGAGUUGGCGAGAAGUACGCGGAAUGCGCGGUGUAGCGGUGAAAUGCAUAGAUAUCGCGCAGAACUCCGAUUGCGAAGGCAGCGUACCGGCGCCAGACUGACGCUGAGGCACGAAAGCGUGGGGAUCGAACAGGAUUAGAUACCCCUGUAGUC